This is a long non-coding RNA of Syzygium oleosum, 2676 nucleotides long. RefSeq lists it as uncharacterized. The record is from RefSeq and is a predicted model, not a curated record. NCBI's taxonomy places the organism in Eukaryota, Viridiplantae, Streptophyta, Magnoliopsida, Myrtales, Myrtaceae. The transcript is spliced from 3 exons.
UAGAAGGCUGGGCAGUGCUGGCAGUGGCUGAUCCUUCAGUAAUGGGAAAUUGUGAUUCAGAGGGAUGAGAGGAAGACUAUGGGCAGAGGCUUCUUAUGUUCUGCUAUUUCGUGUUUUUAUCUGACAGUCCUAUCAGGUCUGCUAAUAUCAAUUUGUCUUCCUAGCUCUAAAACCUUUGGCUGAACGACACAACCCAAGUCCGAAAAUUGCCCUAGCUUUAUUUCUUUGCUUUUCUUUUAGGAUCUGGUCGUAAGAUUCGACCGUUCCGUAAUCCAUUGCUGUUGUAAUUGGAAGAAGUUGCAGAAUUCCAGUAUGCACCAUCUUGGGUGAUCACCAAUUCUUACUGCCUGAACGACAAAAAAUUGUUAUUGCUAGAGACUUGGAGUAUCGAGUUACUACUGUCCAAGAGCUGCGAGGGAUAUUUGCACUUGGUAUUUAUGCACGUCGAGUCUUGUCCCCUCUUAGAUACUGAGUUUUAUCUUGCUUUUGCCGAAAAUGGCUUUGCCACUUUUGCACCUCUUUUGGGUGGGAAGGCUUUCCCAUAUUUCGAAUUAGCAAAAUAAGACAAUUACCUCCUGCACUCUGUGCCCCAUGAAUAAGCUCAUAGGGCUUUGAAGCAAGAAGUAAUUGUUGACCUUGUCGAUCAGUGUCGUUCUUAUCGAGAGUGUGUCGUGCUUCAUCUGAAUCACAUAGCGUUAGAACUUCAAUAAAGAAAAUAAAUUAUGCAACCUUUUGCGGUUAGAUGUUAUACCCUUAGUUGCGCACUCUACUGACCUUCAGAGACGAGGAACUUCCGUGGCUGGGAUUGGCAUUGAAUGCUAGUUUGCAGCAUGCUCUUUGUCAACAUGAUAACAUUGUCAUCAAAGGUACUCCACUGACCAAAGCAGAAAGUGACAGAAACCCCCAGCUUUGGCACCAGUGAGUGUGAAUCACGAGGAUGAUGAAUCUGAAGAUGAUUUUUCCCAGCUAGCUCACAGUUGAAUGUUCUGCAUUCCCUUUUUGGAUAUGGUGUUCAGGUGGUCAACAGAUAAUGGAGACAAUGGGUAAGCAGCGAAUGCUCAGAUUGAACUAUCGCGAAUCAGCCCACUUCUCCCAUCUCCACCCUCAUCAAAGAGACCAGUUGCUGGAGAUUCAAGCUCGAUGAUUACCUCAGUGGCGAUGUAUAUAAAUACAAAGAAUGUCCCGCGACAAUGGGAUUGACACUAUCCUCAGUUCCUGAUUCUAACAGGACCUGUUCCAUGCCAUCUACUCCAUCUUAUCCCCAUUUUUUUCUUCUAUUUUGGGCUUAGCCUACAAAAUAUCUGCUUGCUUUCUCUAGGAGAAAGGCCGUUGUCCUUUCACUGUCUAUAUGACUCCAGUGAAGGUUCUCAGCUGACCAAUGCUAUCCAGCUGAUAAUUUAUUUCAUACCUAGCUGUUUUUUGCUACCUAAACAGGUGAAGAGAUUAUUCUGUUUAGCAUGCUUAGCGUACAGUCUGAGAAGAAGUUUAAUUAAGUACUGGAUUGCUUCCAUUCCCUGUGCGUCGAAAUUCAAGGAAGAAACUAUAAUCUAGUGACAUUCAUUAUUCUUGUCCUGCCUUUUGCAGCCUGGCCGCAAUUUUAAUCGGCUCCGACGAUGGCUUGAUACAUGACAUAUAACUGAUGUCAUCCUUCUUAGUCUACUAGUUUUAUUUUCAUUCACCAAUCGCAAUGGAAGCCUGGACUGUCAAGCAUUUGAGUUUUGCAGGGAAAUAUCAAAAGGUGAAACCGGUGGUUUAUGGUAUGGUGAAGUACUGGAGUAAGAUGUUUCUUUGCCCACGAGAUUAAGGCUGUUAUGAUGAGAUGCUCUGCAUCUUUGUGAAAAGUCAUAUCAACUAGUGCCAGGGGGGCUAUAGUGGCUUGGUCUGAAGUGUCUUCCCAAGUGUGAGGGAGGGCUAGGCCUUAGAAACUUACUUCUAUGAGUGAUAGUUCUAUGUGUCACAGUCCAGAGGUUUUCAACGUAUGAAGGACCGUGAUGAUUCGAGAAGACCAGGCGAGCCUUCUAGAGUUUCUCGAGUUCUCUAGAAUAUUACUAGGUACGGGCAAUAUGGGAGAUAUACACCAUUAUGGAGAAUUCUCGUAAUUAAUGCGGGUAGUUGGUAGAUGGGGAGAUAGAACCUUCACCGUUAGAUUGUAGGGAGAUAGAACCUUCUAUGGUUAUGAAUAAGGGAGUACUUGUAUAUAUAGGGAUCACUUCUCCUCAUUUGUAUCAUCCCACAAGUAAUAGAAAAUCCAGAUCUUCUCUUCUCUCUCUAAACAUCCUUGUGAGGCCUAGCGUUCCUUUACCCGUGAGAUGUGGAACACUGCUUGUAUUCUUAGUAAGUUGUGACAGUUAUAGUCCAAAUUCGGUUCCCUUUGGAUUGCUUGGGUGCAUUGUGAUCGUUUAAAGGGAUCUAGCAUCUGGAGUAGUGUUGUUAUUAAGGCUGAUAGUACUUAUUCAUUCUACCUAAGGUAUGCAAUGUGUUAUGCACCACCAACCAAUUAAUGGGAGAUAGAGCUGGAGCUGACAUAACAUUUGUAUCGGGUUUAAGGAACUAUCCUUAUGGAGUUCUACAUUUCUGUCUGAUUCAAGGCAAUACGGAAUUCAAACUUCAGUAUGCUGAUUUCGAAUAUCUUUAGCACCUUUAUUCUCCAUGGUGAGCUGGCUAGGCUCUCCUAUU